UACGUAGGGUGCGAGCGUUGUCCGGAAUUACUGGGCGUAAAGAGCUCGUAGGUGGUUUGUCGCGUUGUCCGUGAAAACUCACAACUCAAUUGUGGGCGUGCGGGCGAUACGGGCAGACUGGAGUACUGCAGGGGAGACUGGAAUUCCUGGUGUAGCGGUGAAAUGCGCAGAUAUCAGAAAGAACACCGGUGGCGAAGGCAGGUCUCUGGGCCGGAACUGACGCUGAGGAGCGAAAGCGUGAAGAGCGAACAGG
This 253-nucleotide ribosomal RNA is filed under the name uncultured bacterium. RNAcentral describes it as "partial 16S ribosomal RNA". It matches the Rfam family "Bacterial small subunit ribosomal RNA", at positions 524 to 776 of the family's 1533-position model. The record is from RNAcentral.